ACUAUUUUGGCGGAUUAGCGCACGAGGUUUAGGGCUUUGGUAAGGUUAGGCCAAAUAGUU
RNAcentral lists this transfer RNA (60 nucleotides) under Gammarus nipponensis. RNAcentral's name for it is "tRNA-Leu". The record is from RNAcentral. Lineage: Eukaryota; Metazoa; Arthropoda; Malacostraca; Amphipoda; Gammaridae.